Long non-coding RNA from Sorghum bicolor (sorghum), 833 nucleotides. RefSeq lists it as uncharacterized. NCBI's taxonomy places the organism in Eukaryota, Viridiplantae, Streptophyta, Magnoliopsida, Poales, Poaceae. The transcript has 3 exons. The record is from RefSeq and is a predicted model, not a curated record.
ACUUCCCUCUCCCCUGCUAAGCCGUCACUUACGGAGGGAGGGAGAAGAGCAGCACCGGCUGUUGCCCGCGCCUGGCGACGGGCGGGGCUUCAGCUCGCGCGGCUCGCGCAGCCCCUGACGAGGAGCAGCGGAGACGGCGCGGCUCGGCCCGGCAGGCGACCGGCCUUGGUUCCGCGCGUGCACGCGGCACGGAGGUGGCCACGCGCACAGACGGCGGCUCGGGUCGGCCUCGCCUCCUCGCGCGGCGCGCGCGCUCGCCCAGGCGGUGGCCGCCCGAAGGCACGCACCGCGGCCUGUUCGGCGCGGGUGGGCUCGGCGCGGCCGGCGUGGAGGCGCGAGCGGCAGGCGGCCCGCCUGCGCGCGACUUAGCCCCGGCGGGCGACCGGCAGCGGCCGGCGCUGAGGUCCCGCGGGCGGCUCGGCCUCGCGUCCCCGCGCGGCGCGCGCGUGGCUCGUGGAGCCCCUGCGGCUGCUGCCCUGGCUCGCGUCUUCGCACAGCGCUCGACGCGGACGGGUGUUAUUUUCCAGCUCUUCGGAUUGGGCAUUGCUUACUUCAGUUCAUUCUAGUAGUGGACAGUGCAGGUUGACUACUACAAGGUUAGAAGUGGUUUAUUUUCUAGGGAUGAUGGAAAGGAAGGACCUGGUAUUGCUACUUUGGUUUAUGCAUAGUUGAAUAAUGAUUUCUCUGUAACCAUUAAUAACAUUUAUAGUACGUGUUGUCAUUGCAAGCUGUAUAAAUUGCUUCAUUUUGUCAAAUGUUAUUCAUAGUAUUUUAAUCAGAGUGUUAUAGCUGCAAACACCAUUAUACAUAUACUAUUUGAUUAUUGUAAUUUA